GACGAGGGGUCCAAGCGUUGUUCGGAAUCAUUGGGCGUAAAGCGGGUGUAGGCGGCUCUGUAAGUCAGGAGUGAAAGCCCUGAGCUUAACUUAGGAAGUGCUUUUGAUACUGCAGAGCUUGAAUGUGGGAGAGGGUAGUGGAAUUCCAGGUGUAGUGGUGAAAUACGUAGAUAUCUGGAGGAACACCGGUGGCGAAGGCGGCAUCCUGGACCGACACUGACGCUGAGGCGCGAAAGCUAGGGUAGCAAACGGG
This 253-nucleotide ribosomal RNA is filed under the name uncultured bacterium. Its description in RNAcentral is "partial 16S ribosomal RNA". It matches the Rfam family "Bacterial small subunit ribosomal RNA", at positions 524 to 776 of the family's 1533-position model. The record is from RNAcentral.